GAUUGAAUAUCUUUCUAUAUUUUGCAAUUUUCAUUCUGAUUAUAGCUUUUAUUCUACAUAUGUGUUUAUUUUAUUAUUAUUAUUAUUAUUUUCUCUUUCUUAGGACGUUUGCUAGAUUUUCACUGGAUUUGUUCAGACAUCCCACUGCUGUUAAUAAGAUUUACUUGAAGAUUUACUGCAGUCUGGAACCAUACGAUGUGCACCUCUCUGAUUCAGAAAUUGCCAUAAAAAUCAAGCAACUAGAAACUGCUGUCCAGAAGCUCAGCAGCUGUCAGCAGGAAUAGCUGCACUGAAGACAGAAAAAUAACACUGAUUUUUACCAAUAGAGGAUUAAAAUCAAACUUCCAGGGAGAAUACCCAUGCUGGUUGCCCUACAUUGAUGCAAUAUUUGUUGCCUCGACAAAGACUGCUCUAAGACCAGCCCAGAGAUUGUACAUUUCAUGUGUGACAGAAAUGGCUCUCCAGGGGUUCAUGAAAGCCAAAUGCUGAUUGCUGUUUCCAGCCCUUCUGAACCUCUGAGAUGGCAUUUGUCCCUGAGAAAAAAAAAAAAAAAAAAAAAAAAAUAUUCUCUGACAUGUUUGCUUUGAGAAGUGCUUUGUACAUUGGAAAGGAAGAGGGCAGGGGGUGGAAUGGGUCUGAAUGUUCUAAACUGUGAUUGAAUGUAAGGUCAUGAGGUUCAUUUGUCCCAACUGGAUGGUUGGCUUGCAAAAAGACACAGAGGAUAUUAAUUGAUAAUGGGUAUCACUGACUGGCUCUGUUUAUUCUUUAUAAAUAAAGUCAGUGAAGGAAAAGGACA
Molecule: long non-coding RNA, 796 nt
Filed under: Coturnix japonica (Japanese quail)
Lineage: Eukaryota; Metazoa; Chordata; Aves; Galliformes; Phasianidae
Description: lncRNA (ENSCJPG00005004404.1)
Source: RNAcentral